GGGUUAGUAGGUUUGUCAUGCCUCCGGUAUGUACUGGUCUCACUGAUUCCUCCUUCCUGAUGAGCCUUAAUGCCAUUAAUUUGGUGUUUUGGGGAAUUUGGACUGUUACUUUGAAAAAAUUAGAGUGUUCAAAGCAGGCCUAUGCCCGAAUACAUUAGCAUGGAAUAAUAAAAUAGGACUUGCGGUUCUAUUUUGUUGGUUUCUAGAGUCGCAGUA
Molecule: ribosomal RNA, 216 nt
Filed under: Campeiostachys nutans
Lineage: Eukaryota; Viridiplantae; Streptophyta; Magnoliopsida; Poales; Poaceae
Description: Elymus nutans partial small subunit ribosomal RNA
Rfam family: Eukaryotic small subunit ribosomal RNA (bases 40-216)
Source: RNAcentral